This 76-nucleotide transfer RNA is filed under the name Rheinheimera lutimaris. RNAcentral's name for it is "Rheinheimera sp. YQF-2 tRNA-Glu". It matches the Rfam family "tRNA". Rfam says of the family: Transfer RNA (tRNA) molecules are approximately 80 nucleotides in length. Their secondary structure includes four short double-helical elements and three loops (D, anti-codon, and T loops). Further hydrogen bonds mediate the characteristic L-shaped molecular structure. tRNAs have two regions of fundamental functional importance: the anti-codon, which is responsible for specific mRNA codon recognition, and the 3' end, to which the tRNAs corresponding amino acid is attached (by aminoacyl-tRNA synthetases). tRNAs cope with the degeneracy of the genetic code in two manners: having more than one tRNA (with a specific anti-codon) for a particular amino acid; and 'wobble' base-pairing, i.e. permitting non-standard base-pairing at the 3rd anti-codon position. The record is from RNAcentral. Lineage: Bacteria; Pseudomonadati; Pseudomonadota; Gammaproteobacteria; Chromatiales; Chromatiaceae.
GUCCCCUUCGUCUAGAGGCCCAGGUCACCGCCCUUUCUCGGCGGUAACAGGGGUUCGAAUCCCCUAGGGGACGCCA